This 497-nucleotide ribosomal RNA is filed under the name uncultured bacterium. RNAcentral describes it as "partial 16S ribosomal RNA". It matches the Rfam family "Bacterial small subunit ribosomal RNA", at positions 28 to 507 of the family's 1533-position model. The record is from RNAcentral.
GAUGAACGCUGGCGGCGUGCCUAAUACAUGCAAGUCGAGCGAACAGACGAGGAGCUUGCUCCUUCGACGUUAGCGGCGGACGGGUGAUUAACACGUAGGUAACCUACCUAUAAGACUGGGAUAACUUCGGGAAACCGGAUCUAAUACCGGAUAAUAUUUCGAACCGCAUGGUUCGAUAGUGAAAGAUGGCUUUGCUAUCACUUAUAGAUGGACCUGCGCCGUAUUAGCUAGUUGGUAAGGUAACGGCUUACCAAGGCAACGAUACGUAGCCGACCUGAGAGGGUGAUCAGCCAGACUGGAACUGAGACACGGUCCAGACUCCUACGGGAGGCAGCAGUAGGGAAUCUUCCGCAAUGGGCGAAAGCCUGACGGAGCAACGCCGCGUGAGUGAUGAAGGUCUUCGGAUCGUAAAACUCUGUUAGUAGGGAAGAACAAAAGUGUAAGUAACCGUGCACGUCUUGACGGUACCUAAACAGAAAGCAACGGCUAACUACGUG